AGUGAACGCUGGCGGUAGGCCUAACACAUGCAAGUCGAACGGCAGCACAGUAAGAGCUUGCUCUUACGGGUGGCGAGUGGCGGACGGGUGAGGAAUACAUCGGAAUCUACUUUUUCGUGGGGGAUAACGUAGGGAAACUUACGCUAAUACCGCAUACGACCUACGGGUGAAAGCAGGGGAUCUUCGGACCUUGCGCGAUUGAAUGAGCCGAUGUCGGAUUAGCUAGUUGGCGGGGUAAAGGCCCACCAAGGCGACGAUCCGUAGCUGGUCUGAGAGGAUGAUCAGCCACACUGGAACUGAGACACGGUCCAGACUCCUACGGGAGGCAGCAGUGGGGAAUAUUGGACAGUGGGCGCAAGCCUGGUCCAGCCAUACCGCGUGAGUGAAGAAGGCCUUCGGGUUGUAAAGCCCUGUUGUUGGGAAAGAAAAGCAGCAGGUUAAGACCCCGCUGUUCUGACGGUACCCAAAGAAUAAGCACCGGCUAACUUCGUG
This 492-nucleotide ribosomal RNA is filed under the name uncultured bacterium. Its description in RNAcentral is "partial 16S ribosomal RNA". It matches the Rfam family "Bacterial small subunit ribosomal RNA", at positions 29 to 507 of the family's 1533-position model. The record is from RNAcentral.